Molecule: small nuclear RNA, 104 nt
Filed under: Dasypus novemcinctus (nine-banded armadillo)
Lineage: Eukaryota; Metazoa; Chordata; Mammalia; Cingulata; Dasypodidae
Source: RNAcentral
GUGCUUGCUUCAGCAGCACACGUAAUAAAAUUGGAACGAAACAGAGAUUAGCAUGGCCCCUGCACAAGGAUGACAUGCAAAUUCGUGAAGCGUUCCAUAUUUUU